CUCUUUUUGCUCUUUCCUGGCUGUGUGGUGGACUCUUCAGGGACACAGCAGUCACUGCGCUGCAGGGACAGUCCCCAAGUGCCAAGGCACAGCCUAAAGGGGCCUGUUCCCACCAUGGCAUCCGUGACAAGAACCAGGAGCCAGAAUGCAGGUUUCUGGGACUUGUCAGCUCCCUUCUGAGUGCCCUGUUGAGGAUUCCUAGAAGUCCAGACACCUCACCCCCCUAACCUGGAUGGACCACGCAGAGCCAAUAGGAAUACUUUUCUGUGGACGUGCCAUGUUGGAAUCCCAGAUCUCCCUGCCCUGCCAGCCCCUGCCAGCUUCCUGGGGACCCAACUGACCCUGAAGAAAGCCUCUGAUGGGCCUAGAACAGAGAAGGUGACCCAGGACCUUGCCCAGCCUUUCUGGACAACUGGAAGACAGUUACGCUUCGUCCUCCACCUCUCCCUCCAACAAAAGGAUCUUAGCAAGUGUUGGAGAGGUGCUGAAGUCGUAUUAGGACCAACCAGACUUUUUCUUUGAGGAUACUCAGAAGGAGUGAAGGAGAAUGGAACAGGGGGUGUGAAUAAAUGAGCUUUCUCCA
Homo sapiens (human) is the source of this 583-nucleotide non-coding RNA. NCBI's taxonomy places the organism in Eukaryota, Metazoa, Chordata, Mammalia, Primates, Hominidae. The record is from RefSeq and is a predicted model, not a curated record.